GUCCACGCCCUAAACGAUGUCGACUAGUCGUUCGGAGCAGCAAUGCACUGAGUGACGUAGCUAACGCGUGAAGUCGACCGCCUGGGGAGUACGGCCGCAAGGUUAAAACUCAAAGGAAUUGACGGGGACCCGCACAAGCGGUGGAUGAUGUGGAUUAAUUCGAUGCAACGCGAAAAACCUUACCUACCCUUGACAUGUCUGGAACCCUGGUGAGAGCCGGGGGUGCCUUCGGGAGCCAGAACACAGGUGCUGCAUGGCUGUCGU
RNAcentral lists this ribosomal RNA (264 nucleotides) under uncultured bacterium. RNAcentral describes it as "partial 16S ribosomal RNA". It matches the Rfam family "Bacterial small subunit ribosomal RNA", at positions 793 to 1055 of the family's 1533-position model. The record is from RNAcentral.